GACUCCAAGGCUGGCUCCUCUACAGAUGAGGAGGCGUCUGAAGCAGGGGAGAAGGGAGAGCAGUACGAGGAGCUGGCCACCCCACCCCUUCCAGAACGACUCAUGGAGGAAAAGAAAAAGGCAGCUCCCUCCAAAGAUGAGACGUCAUGUGGAGGGAUGACCUCUGCUAACCUGCAGGCCCACAAGCUGUGUGCCAAGGCUGCCAUUGAGCAUGCUCAGAAGAGGGUGGAGGAGGCCGCCCAGGCUAUGGUGGAGGUGAUGGGGCCUGCUGGUCAGGGUGCUGGUACUCUGAGUGUGGAGGCUAAAGCCAAACACCCUGCUGAGGGCAGUCAAGUCAACGACCCCCAUCCAUCUCUACCAGUAACAAGAACAGUGUUGUGGGUCGGAUGAGGAUUUAACAGGUCACCGCCCUCUCAAUGGGUGGUGUUCCUAUCUACCAGCAGCUGAGCAUCAAUGUGAAUGUGAGCCAGGUCGUAGAGCUGGGCCUGAUGAACUGACUGCUACCAGACCAACUGCUGGUGGGCAACCUCUCAGAGAGACCACAGCUGAGUGACUGUCACCGGGGUGUUGUGAUGGACGGGAUGGAGACGCUGUACUGCCGCUCCCCCAGCAGCAUCCUAUAGAUCAUCAAGGCUUCAUCUACAUGGUCAACCUCUCAAUCAACUACUACGUCUUCAAAGCCAAGGAGAGGGCACAGAGAGAGGCAGAGGGUGAGGACAAACUAGUCCAAAGGAGACUGCGCCCCAUAUAAACCUCUCUGUUAUUGGGAGGGGACUAUCCUAGUGGAACAGAGACCCUGAAAAGCAACAUACUUGAAGAGUCUCUUGAAGAGGGUUUGGACUCAAAAGCCCUCCUAUCCCCUCCUCCACUAUGUCCUCUGUCAUACUCUACACUAAGAACAGGCCUGUGUCCAGUGCACAGCAGAUCACUAGUUCCUUCCCCUUCAUGGUGUCCUCAGCCCCAAAGGAAGCUUAAGGCUCGGUCAAGGAAGAGGCGUUGACCUCUACUGAAGGACGGGGGGAAGAAGGCAGACACGGGCAGAGAGAGUCAGAAAGACAAGAGACCCACCAUAGCCAAAAAGGGGUCCAGGAGCCAAUGACUCCCGCUCCCCUCCUCUAAAGGCUGUGACUCGCUUAUUUGACACUGAGCAGUGCCAACAGGAGUCCCAACAGGAGUCCCAACAGGAGUCCCAACAGGAGUCCCAACAGGAGUCCCAACAGGAGUCCCAACAGGAGUGCAAACUACAUAAGAAUACACAAGAAUAAACACUGAUGUGCAUGAAUGUGACUUAAAGGUUUGUGUUGUUUUCUAUAGGCUCACCACAUUCCACUGGAAUGUCCCGCCCUAUGGAGAGGCGACCCUGAAGAUCUGGUUCCACUCCCAAGUCCCUGUCAAGUUUGACAAAACACUGAAUUUUGAGUUGUUGGGUACCAAGAUAUGUUUCAAAAUGUACUGUGGGGGAAUCUAUACAUAUCUAUCCAUCAGCAGAAACACAAAGAUGGUAUUUGCCCACAGGAAGAGAGUCCUUUGCUGAAGCGUUGCAGAAGAGCUACAUCAUCCGCUCUGUCCUCUAUGAGUUUGGCCCACUGCUCUGUGGCAAGACCACAGAUAGGUAUAUAGAGGAAGUAUCCAGAGAACAUGGAAAGGUUGGUGAUACACAACAACACCCCACUGGAUGCUGAGAUUCACUUCUUCUUCCAGCAUGACACCAAGGCUGCCACCUACCAACUGGACCCUCCCAACAUGACCCUUAAACCCAACGAGAGACAAGAAGCCAAUCAGAACUACUCAUGACAUCAUAGAAUGUAGUCUGAGAUGUCGGAUUAGUCAGAACCCUGACUGUGUGACACAAACUUACCUAGAAGUUAUGACUGUUCACUGAUAUUAUCAGUGAACAUUCUCACGCCCAUUUACUUUUGUUCUCGUUUUGAAACUCCAAUGAUCCAUGGUUGUGCCCUGGCAGAUAGAAGACAGUGUGGUGUAUCAAAGAGAACCCAGAGCCAGCAUUUCUGUUGUGGGGUCCAUCCCGAGCUUGAAUGCAAGCAGCUGCAUUUUGAAAAUAAUUCAUUAACAUUACCCAGAACUGCUGUAUCGUUUUUAAACCUGCUUCAGUAACAAAGUAGGAGAUUUGUUUUUGUCAUGGUAGUUUUCUGUUGAUUUUCCUUUCGCCACUCUACUACAUUCUCCCUGUGCUGGUUGUGAACCUCAGGAAGAACACAAGGAGUCUGUACCUGCGUAACAACACGCUGCUGCCUGUAGCCUGGAGGCUAGAGGUGCUGGGGGAUGAGUUCAGUGUUUCCCAGGACCAGGGCAUCAUACUUAGGGAUCCUUGGGGUGUCCCUACCCAAACCCCUAACCCUAAACUUAACCCCUACCCUUAUUCAAACCAUAACCUUAACCAUAACCCUGACCUACCCCUAACCUUAAUUCUUACCUUAACCAUUUUAAAUUUCAACUUCAAAGGGGUAGAGAAGCCCCAAGGAUCCCGGAUAGCAUGGACCCUUGUCUCAAGCCAGAUUGCGCGAUUGCCGUCUGCACUGAUCGGUUGAGGAACGAGCGUUGCGUAGGAGUGACGCCAUCUGACAUGAGACAAUGGCCCAUCAACCUAAAGAGAGCCAUAUGCCUCGAGGUACAUUACUGGAUGAUGAUUGAUUUGUUGUUUGGUAUCGACUGUUGCAUUAUUCCUGUUUACCUCAUAUUGUUGUUGUGUGACAUUCUGUCUGUGUUGCCGUGUGUGUUAUGUGCCUGAUGUGAGGAACAGACAGCCCCCAGGUCUGCUUCUCUACAUAGGUGGUCCACCUCCAUGUAGACUGUACCAAGGAGGUGACCGUGGCCUUCUGCUCAGAGCCGCCCAUAGUACUGACUGCCCAGCCUAUCAAGUGUAAGCUGUGCAGGGUGGUGUUCCAGCAGGAGGUGGACCAGGUGCCAGACUGGGACGACCGCCUCAGGACCAUCAUGUGGGUUGAGUCUGGGAAACAGGCGGGUAGUCAACAGUCUGCAAAGAAGAAGUUCAAGUCACACAGGCUUACUAAAAAGGCUACCUUUUUGUGACUGUAUUUAUUGUUUAUCAUCAUGACCCAUGCAGGGAGGAUAUUUGCUGACUACUCAGACUCCUUGCUCUGGUCAAAUGCUACACCACGCCCACAGACAUCAGUUUCUCCACAAUCAGUCUGGAUCUGAGUACCUCCCCAAUGAUUUCUGGAAUGUAAACACAUUCUAUCUGUUCUGAUUGGUCCCAGAAACCCAUGGGUUGGGUCAGAGCCAGGGUAAAGCAGCGUUUUGAAAAUAUGUCAUUAGCUUUAAUACUCU
Molecule: long non-coding RNA, 3309 nt
Organism: Oncorhynchus tshawytscha (Chinook salmon)
Lineage: Eukaryota; Metazoa; Chordata; Actinopteri; Salmoniformes; Salmonidae
Source: Ensembl